RNAcentral lists this long non-coding RNA (1899 nucleotides) under Cairina moschata (Muscovy duck). RNAcentral describes it as "domestica (muscovy Duck (domestic type)) lncRNA (ENSCMMG00000005111.1)". The record is from RNAcentral. Lineage: Eukaryota; Metazoa; Chordata; Aves; Anseriformes; Anatidae.
GCGACACCGGUGACCCCCAGAGCGGUGCCUGAAGCCCCCAAGAUGGCCGCCGAGGCGAAGCCGGCGCCGCCGCCAGCACCAAAGAUGGCCGCCGACACCAAACCGGCUCCCAAGAUGGCUGCCGACGCCAAACCGGCCCCGGUGACACCGCCGCCAGCGCCCAAGAUGGCCGCCGACACCCAGCCAGCACCCAAGAUGGCCACCGAGGCCAAACUGGCACCGCCGCCAGCACCAAAGAUGGCCGCCGACACCAAACCGGCUCCCAAGAUGGCCGCCGACACCAAACCAACACCGCAACCGGCACCCAAGAUGGCCGCCGACACCCAACCGGCCCCGGUGACGCCGCCGCCAGCACCCAAGAUAGCCGCCGACACCCAGCCAGCACCCAAGAUGGCCGCCGAUGCCCAACCGGUGCCCAAGAUGGCUGCCGACGCCAAACCAACGCCGCCGCCAGCACCCAAGAUGGCCGCUGACACCAAACCGGCACCGGUGACACCGCCGCCAACAUCCAAGAUGGCCGCCGACACCCAACCGGCACCGCCGCCAGCACCCAAGAUGGCCGCCGACACCAAACCGGCGCCGCCGCCAGCACCCAAGAUGGCCGCCGAGGCCGCGCCCAGCGACGCCACCACCACCGCCGUGACCUCAGUGAUGACGUCACCCAUGGCAUCACCCGUGACGUCAGCGGUGCCCCCCAACCUCCUCAAAUCGGCCUCCCCCGCCCUCCCCCGCGCCGUGCCCGCCCCCCCCGCCCUGCCCAAGGCCAUGCCCGUGGUCACCGUCACCCCCCCGGCGCCCCCCAAGACCCCCCCCAGGCCCCCCGCGGACCCCCCCAGACCCUCCCCGGACCCCAAACCCNGCUGGGGGCGCCCCCCCCGCCCCCCCCGGGGCUGCCGCGGGCGCUGGCGGCCGCCAAGCUGCUGGGGCUGCCCUCGUCCCCCGUGGCCGCCUCCGCCCUGCGGCCCCCCCCCGCCCCCCGGCCCCUCCCCGCCUCCCCCGUCCCCGUCGCCGCCUCCCCCCUCUCCCUGGGGCCCAAGGGGGGCGGGGGCGGGGCCUGGAGGGGUGACGUCACGCGGGCGUCGCCCGUGGCAACCGCUGAUGUCACGCGGGUGUCUACCCCGGCAACCGGUAAUGUCACAAGGGCGUCGCCCAUGGCAACCGGUGACGUCACGCGGGUCACUACCCCGGUAACCAGUGACGUCACUCGGGCGUCGCCCGUGGCAACCAAUGACGUCACUCGGGUGACUACCCCAGUAACUGGUGACGUCACUCGGGCGUCUCCCAUAGCAACCAGUGACGUCAUUCGCCUGUCACCAAUGGCAACCAAUGACGUCACACGGGUCACUACCCCGGUAACCAGUGACGUCACUCGGGCGUCACCAGUGGCAACCGGUGACGUCACUCGGGUCACUACCCCGGCAACCAGUGACGUCACUCGCCUGUCACCCAUGGCAACCAGUGACGUCACUCGGGUAUCUACCCCAGUAACCAGUGACGUCACUCGCACGUCUCCCAUGGCAACCGGUGACGUCACUCGGGUAUCCCCCAUGGCAACCGGUGAUGUCACUCGCACAUCUCCCAUGGCAACCGGUGACGUCACUUGUGUCUCUACCCCGGUAACCGCUGACAUCACACCCGUGUCACCUGCCGUCACUGCUGAUGUCACCCGCGCGUCACCCAUGGCAACCGGUGACGUCACCACCGCGUCACCCGCCCCCGCCGUGGCCAACGCCGCUGUCCCCAGAGCACCCCCCACGGCCGCUGCUGACGUCACCAAGAUGGCCGCUGCUGACGUCACCCGGGCGUCCCCUGGCCCUGUGGCCGCUUCCGCCAUCACCAGAGCCCCGCCCACGGCCCCUGCUGCAGUCAGUGACGUCAUCAAACCCACCGCUGACGUCA